Molecule: long non-coding RNA, 995 nt
Organism: Trifolium pratense (red clover)
Lineage: Eukaryota; Viridiplantae; Streptophyta; Magnoliopsida; Fabales; Fabaceae
Exons: 2
Source: RefSeq, a predicted model, not a curated record
UGUUCUUAUAAUAUUAUAAACAUGAAUACAAAAAAUCAUUUAAAAAUGUGAAAGUAUACACGAGUUGAAUGAAAAGUAGGGACUAAAAACAUUGAUUGAUGAAACUUCAGGACUAAAAAUUGUGAAAACAAACUUCAGGGACUAAAACGAAAAUUCUGAAAAACUAUAAGGACCAAAAACAUAUUUAACCCUAAACUUUAUUAAAACCAUAAUUUAUUUGAUAAACACGCUACUACAAACUUUGCACAUUUUAGUGCUAUCAAACCCACCCAUCCCUAAACCAUUGUUUGUCCUCAAACAAUUAAGAUAAAAUUAAAAGAAUUAGGAUUAGGACAAGUUCAGAAUACCUUCCAAGUUAGAGACUUAACAUUUCUUUAUUUCUUACCUCUCAACCACUUCAAGGAAGUUUAAUCCUUUUCAAGUCUCCUUCAAAGCUAUGUUUUUCAAUUGGCUUGACUAUAAACAAAAGUUUUCUUACCCAUCAUCCUUUUUUUUUUUGUUACAUUCUUACUCAUCCUAUUAUACCAAGAAUGAUGCUCUGGACGCGCAGAAUAGAUAUAUCUCCAACGGCGAGGCAGAUAUAUGAAAUGCUGGUUUUGAAUUCAGGCAUAGACGGUAAAGGUACCUGCAAGAAUUUUAUUAGCACUCCAACGAUCAAGUCAAUAUUUGAAAGAGGUGAAAAAUUCUAUGGAAAUGGGGAACUUGGACAUUAACUGAAAAUAGAGUCAUGGUUCUCAUCAUUUGCUUAUACCUGGCACAGAAAAUUCCACUAAUAUAUAGUAGCAAAAACAAAGGGAAACAAAAAAUAUUUUUGUGCCUAUUCCUUCCCUUUUAAUUAUUUGUAUAAAGAAAGUUACAAAUUAAAAUGCAAUGUCAGAUUGAUACAGUUUAAGGCAUAUGAAUGCUAUACUUGUAAAAUUUUAUUGGUUUUACCUGAGAUUACUACAAUUUGUAACACAAUUUUUAUUGGAUGUUGAGUAUGAUGUUACCAACUA